Molecule: ribosomal RNA, 465 nt
Filed under: uncultured soil bacterium
Lineage: Bacteria
Description: bacterial SSU rRNA
Rfam family: Bacterial small subunit ribosomal RNA
Source: RNAcentral
AGAUUGAACGCUGGCGGCAUGCCUUACACAUGCAAGUCGAACGGCAGCACGGGAGCAAUCCUGGUGGCGAGUGGCGAACGGGUGAGUAAUAUAUCGGAACGUGCCCAGUCGUGGGGGAUAACGCAGCGAAAGCUGUGCUAAUACCGCAUACGAUCUCUGGAUGAAAGCGGGGGACUCGCAAGAGCCUCGCGCGAUUGGAGCGGCCGAUAUCAGAUUAGCUAGUUGGUGAGGUAAAGGCUCACCAAGGCGACGAUCUGUAGCUGGUUUGAGAGGACGACCAGCCACACUGGGACUGAGACACGGCCCAGACUCCUACGGGAGGCAGCAGUGGGAAUUUUGGACAAUGGGGAACCCUGAUCCAGCCAUCCGACGUGUGCGAUGAAGGCCUUGGUUGUAAGCUACUUUGGCGAGGAAGAACGGCGUGUACCCUAAGUACGGACGUCGACUGACGUACCUGCAGAAUAA